Mustela lutreola (European mink) is the source of this 2466-nucleotide long non-coding RNA. RefSeq lists it as uncharacterized. NCBI's taxonomy places the organism in Eukaryota, Metazoa, Chordata, Mammalia, Carnivora, Mustelidae. The transcript is spliced from 4 exons. The record is from RefSeq and is a predicted model, not a curated record.
AUUGGUUAUGGUGAUAAAUUAACAAAAGCUAUUAAGUCUAUAGAUGGUUUUAUUUGACUCAGAUACUUUCCUGAAGUCUGAUGCUUGCCAUAAGCCAAGGGCUGAAGUUGUAUCUCUGACACUUUAGAAUUGACUCUUGAGUGCCAGCCUCAGAGCUGGCAUCACACAGACAACUUUGAAACUCACCUUUGUGACCUUCGCACGACUGCUUCGUGAAAUUAGACCACUAACCCAAGAUAUAAGAAUUCACUUCCUGGAAUUGAAUAAGAAAACUGGUGACUGUUUGGCCUAAUGUUGGUAGAGUUUUUUAACUUUCUAUUUUCUAGAGCUGUAAAGAAGCCCUUUCUUUUUCUUCUUAAACGGUCUAUAACGAAUACAAUUGAGUGAAAUCUGCUUUGUAACCUGAAAUAUGGCAUUUUAAAAUAAUAUUUGGUAUUCACUAACCACAAAUUAUUACAAACUUAAUGGCUUAAAAUGACAGAAAUGUAUUCUGUCACAGUUCUGGAGUCUAGAAGUCCAAAAAUCAAAGUGCCUGCAGGACUGAUUCUUUCUGAAACCUCUAAAGGGAGAAUCUGUCGCAUGCGUCUCCUAGUUUCUGAAGGUGGCUGGCUUUGGUGUUUUGUGGCUUAUAGACGUUAUCACUUCAAUCUCUGCUUCUGUUUUCACAUGGCCCUCUCUUAAAUUCGGAAUGAUUCUCAUCACAAAGUUCUUACCUUAGUUACAUCUACAAAGAAGUUAUUUCCAAGGAAGGGCACAUUCAUAGGUGUUGGGACUUGGAGCUAUCUUUUGGGAGGACACAAUUCAGCCCACUCUACCACCUCUCUGGAAUUGAAAAACUUCGCAUGUUUUCAUACUUUUCAUGGAAGUAUUUGCGAAAGCACAGUAAGAAUCUAUACUAUAAGGUCUUGCCUGAAGUGUUGUAUUUGAAACUGAGGUUCUUUUAAUCAGGUAUGACAAGCUGCCUUUAAGGAAAAAACAAACAAAAAACCCUUUACUUAUGCAGCCAAUGCCUCCAAACUUCUCCCAUGAAAACUGGCGUAAAAACCUGGCUUACUGUAGGGUGGUAAGGAAGAUUCCUGGCAGACUAGGAAUCUUUAAAAAUUUGGGGGACUUGCAAGAGAUAGGAAUUCACUUGGAUAUACAGUACUACGGGUAAAAUCUGUUGGAGAGAAAUUCUUGGGCUUGGCUCCCUGGCCUUGGGAUUAAAAAGAAAAAAAAAUAGAUGUUUUUAAAAAGUAAAAUUUGAGAUUCCUUAUGAAAAUAUGCAGGCAGAGGUUAAUUCAUGGCCUUCGUAGCUCUUCAGUAUGGGAUGUAUGAAUUGCAAGAAUUGCAAAGCAAAUUCAAGGAGCUUAUGUGAUAAAUGAACACUCUCGCUGCCUUCAGGUAAAUAAUCAGAUCAAACCUCAUGGCCAAUUUUUAGGAUCAAGAAUAAUCUUUGAGGUAAUUAUGAUCACAAGAGGGAUAGACAAUCAGGAAAAAAUAUUAAAGACUUUUAACAGGCAAAAGGUUAAUUGGUGUCCUGGUUAGCACAGUCUUUUGAGUUAUCUGUACCUUUUGUUGUCUUUGAGCUAUUUUAUAAAUCUGUAAUUUGUAGAAACCAGUUACAAUGAAACAUAAAUGUUGUCCAUAGUGCAUUUGUCUCAUCCAUCUUCAAGAAGUCAGCUUUAUAGCUAUUAACCAGCAAUUUCAACACUGCCAAAUACCCACAUCUGUGUUCUCUGGAUUCUCUUUUCAACUGUUCUACUAUCUUACAGGCUUCUACAGUAUUAUUAAUAAGUUAAAUAAAUAGGUGUCUUUAUUUACAAAGUGUACAAGACAUAAAAGUGUGUUGGUUAUAUCUAUUCAUCAUUCAGGAAAAAAAUAACAAUUUUCGGCUAUCUCUGUGGGGAAAUGGCAUGUAUUGAUUGACUUAACUUGUUUAUCUUUCCUCCUCCUAAAUGGAAUGGCCUUGACUCUGAAAUGGAACUGACUUGGUCUGAUUGAAUACUGUUAUCUCCAUACAUGAGAAUAAUUCCUGGUCCAUCUGAGAUGCUCAGUAAAUUCUUUUGGAAGGAAGAAAUGAUUGGAUGAACACAUUCAGGAAAACAGGACAAGUUCACUGAAAACACUUCCCCUUGUACUCUUUCCCUUCAAUACAACACCUGGAAGGCAGGAGUGGAAUAGGAGGGCUUCGACAUGGUGAUCUUAUGGAAAUACCAGAGCCACUGUUGAGAUAUUAUCUUGGUCCAGUAGCCAUGUGCUAUGAUGAGUUCUCAGUGGCCUCUGCUUAUCAAGGACCAACUCAUUCUGAUUGGUGUCUAUUGAAGCAAAGAGCUGCUCUCGCCUGCCGGGACCUCAUUUGGGGAAAGUGGUCAUUUGCUCCCACCCACAUUUGUACUACUACUCCUUGAUGGUGCUGGCUGGCCAGGAUAAAACCACGCAGAGAUGACACACUUGAUGCAGGCCAGCAAGGAAGGAAGUCACCAU